UACGUAGGGGGCAAGCGUUGUUCGGAAUUACUGGGCGUAAAGGGCGCGUAGGCGGCACGGCAAGUCAGGAGUGAAAGCCCGGGGCUCAACCCCGGAACGUCUUUUGAAACUGCCGAGCUAGAGUGCGGAAGAGGCAACUGGAAUUCCCAGUGUAGCGGUGAAAUGCGUAGAUAUUGGGAAGAACACCUGAGGCGAAGGCGGGUUGCUGGGCCGACACUGACGCUGAGGCGCGAAAGCCAGGGGAGCGAACGGG
Molecule: ribosomal RNA, 253 nt
Filed under: uncultured bacterium
Lineage: Bacteria
Description: partial 16S ribosomal RNA
Rfam family: Bacterial small subunit ribosomal RNA
Source: RNAcentral